Molecule: ribosomal RNA, 301 nt
Filed under: uncultured bacterium
Lineage: Bacteria
Description: partial 16S ribosomal RNA
Rfam family: Bacterial small subunit ribosomal RNA
Source: RNAcentral
CAGUCGCCACGGGAAUACGGAGGGGGCUAGCGUUGUUCGGAAUUACUGGGCGUAAAGCGCACGUAGGCGGCUUGGUAAGUUAGAGGUGAAAGCCUGGAGCUCAACUCCAGAAUUGCCUUUAAGACUGCCGAGCUAGCAGGUGAGAGAGGUAAGUGGAAUUCCGAGUGUAGAGGUGAAAUUCGUAGAUAUUCGGAAGAACACCAGUGGCGAGGGCGGCUUACUGGCUCAUACUGGACGCUGAGGUGCGAAAGCGUGGGGAGCAAACAGGAUUAGAUACACGCGUAGUCCCUGUCUCUUAUAC